UGGCGAACGGGUGAGUAACACGUGAGUAACCUGCCCUUGACUCUGGGAUAAGCCUGGGAAACUGGGUCUAAUACCGGAUAUGACUGUCUGACGCAUGUCAGGUGGUGGAAAGCUUUUGUGGUUUUGGAUGGACUCGCGGCCUAUCAGCUUGUUGGUGGGGUAAUGGCCUACCAAGGCGACGACGGGUAGCCGGCCUGAGAGGGUGACCGGCCACACUGGGACUGAGACACGGCCCAGACUCCUACGGGAGGCAGCAGUGGGGAAUAUUGCACAAUGGGCGCAAGCCUGAUGCAGCGACGCCGCGUGAGGGAUGACGGCCUUCGGGUUGUAAACCUCUUUCAGUAGGGAAGAAGCGAAAGUGACGGUACCUGCAGAAGAAGCGCCGGCUAACUACGUGCCAGCAGCCGCGGUAAUACGUAGGGCGCAAGCGUUAUCCGGAAUUAUUGGGCGUAAAGAGCUCGUAGGCGGUUUGUCGCGUCUGCUGUGAAAGACCGGGGCUCAACUCCGGUUCUGCAGUGGGUACGGGCAGACUAGAGUGAUGUAGGGGAGACUGGAAUUCCUGGUGUAGCGGUGAAAUGCGCAGAUAUCAGGAGGAACACCGAUGGCGAAGGCAGGUCUCUGGGCAUUAACUGACGCUGAGGAGCGAAAGCAUGGGGAGCGAACAGGAUUAGAUACCCUGGUAGUCCAUGCCGUAAACGUUGGGCACUAGGUGUGGGGGACAUUCCACGUUUUCCGCGCCGUAGCUAACGC
This 750-nucleotide ribosomal RNA is filed under the name Paenarthrobacter sp. Its description in RNAcentral is "bacterial SSU rRNA". It matches the Rfam family "Bacterial small subunit ribosomal RNA", at positions 96 to 858 of the family's 1533-position model. Lineage: Bacteria; Bacillati; Actinomycetota; Actinomycetes; Micrococcales; Micrococcaceae. The record is from RNAcentral.